This 1166-nucleotide ribosomal RNA is filed under the name marine metagenome. Its description in RNAcentral is "bacterial LSU rRNA". It matches the Rfam family "Bacterial large subunit ribosomal RNA", at positions 1760 to 2925 of the family's 2925-position model. The record is from RNAcentral.
UUAUGAGCUUGAACGGGCCGCAGUGAUCAGACUCAAGCGACUGUUUAUCAAAAACACAGGAGGGUGCAAAGUUCUAAUACAACGUAUACCCUCUGACACCUGCCCGGUGCUGGAAGGUUAAGUGGAGAGGUUAGCUUCGGCGAAGCUUUGAAAUUAAGCCCCAGUAAACGGCGGCCGUAACUAUAACGGUCCUAAGGUAGCGAAAUUCCUUGUCGGGUAAGUUCCGACCUGCACGAAUGGUGUAACGAUUUGAGUACUGUCUCAACCAGAGACUCGGCGAAAUUGCAAUGUGAGUAAAGAUGCUCACUAUGCGCGACAGGACGGAAAGACCCCGGAACCUUUACUGCAACUUGAUAUUGAAGUUUGGUGUGCAGUAUGCAGGAUAAGUGGGAGACUAUGAAAUAGCGGCGCUAGUCGUUAUGGAGUCAUCCUUGAGAUACCACUUUCUUCAUAUUGAGCUUCUAACCUAGAUCCGUUAUCCGGAUCAGGGACAUUGUCUGGUGGGCAGUUUCACUGGGGCGGUGGCCUCCUAAAAAGUAACGGAGGCGCUCUAAGGUCACCUCAGCGUGGACGGCAAUCACGCAUCGAGUGUAAGUGCAAAAGGUGGCUUGACUGUGACACAAACAAGUGGAGCAGGUACGAAAGUAGGAACUAGUGAUCCCAUGGUUGCAUGUGGGUGCGCCAUGGCUCAUCGGCUAAAAGGUACUCCGGGGAUAACAGGCUUAUACCCCCCAAGAGUCCAUAUCGACGGGGGUGUUUGGCACCUCGAUGUCGGCUCUUCUCAUCCUGGGGCUGGAGCAGGUCCCAAGGGUUAGGCUGUUCGCCUAUUAAAGAGGAACGCGAGCUGGGUUCAGAACGUCGUGAGACAGUUCGGUCCCUAUCCGUCGCGCACGCAAGAGUUUUGAAGAAAGUUGUCCCUAGUACGAGAGGACCGGGAUGAACGAACCGCUGGUGUGCCAGUUGUCCUGCCAAGGGCACGGCUGGUUAGCUACGUUCGGAAAGGAUAAGCGCUGAAAGCAUCUAAGUGCGAAGCCCCUUCUAAGAUAAGAACUCUCACCGGAUUAACCGGGUAAGACUCCUUAUAGAACAUGAGGUUGAUAGGUCAGAAGUGUAAGUACAGUAAUGUAUUCAGCUGACUGAUACUAAUAAGUCGAGGGCUUGAACUG